RNAcentral lists this ribosomal RNA (613 nucleotides) under uncultured bacterium. RNAcentral's name for it is "bacterial SSU rRNA". It matches the Rfam family "Bacterial small subunit ribosomal RNA", at positions 338 to 951 of the family's 1533-position model. The record is from RNAcentral.
CCUACGGGAGGCAGCAGUAAGGAAUAUUGGUCAAUGGACGAAAGUCUGAACCAGCCAUGCCGCGUGAAGGAUGAAGGUCCUCUGGAUUGUAAACUUCUUUUAUCUGGGACGAAAAAAGGGCUUUCUAGCUCACUUGACGGUACCAGAGGAAUAAGCACCGGCUAACUCCGUGCCAGCAGCCGCGGUAAUACGGAGGGUGCAAGCGUUAUCCGGAUUUACUGGGUUUAAAGGGAGCGUAGGUGGGCAGGUAAGUCAGUGGUGAAAUCUCUGGGCUUAACCCGGAAACUGCCAUUGAUACUAUCUGUCUUGAAUAUCCUGGAGGUAAGCGGAAUAUGUCAUGUAGCGGUGAAAUGCUUAGAUAUGACAUAGAACACCCAUUGCGAAGGCAGCUUACUACGGGAUUAUUGACACUGAGGCUCGAAAGCGUGGGGAUCAAACAGGAUUAGAUACCCUGGUAGUCCACGCCCUAAACGAUGGAUACUCGACAUCAGCGAUACACUGUUGGUGUCUGAGCGAAAGCAUUAAGUAUCCCACCUGGGAAGUACGACCGCAAAGGUUGAAACUCAAAUGAAAUUGACGGCUGAGAGAGCGACGACGACGACGAGGGAGGAGG